GACGAACGCUGGCGGCGUGCUUAACACAUGCGAGUCGAACGGAAAGGCCCUGCUUUUGUGGGGUGCUCGAGUGGCGAACGGGUGAGUAACACGUGAGUAACCUGCCCUUGACUUUGGGAUAACUUCAGGAAACUGGGGCUAAUACCGGAUAGGAGCUCCUGCUGCAUGGUGGGGGUUGGAAAGUUUCGGCGGUUGGGGAUGGACUCGCGGCUUAUCAGCUUGUUGGUGGGGUAGUGGCUUACCAAGGCAUUGACGGGUAGCCGGCCUGAGAGGGUGACCGGCCACAUUGGGACUGAGAUACGGCCCAGACUCCUACGGGAGGCAGCAGUGGGGAAUAUUGCACAAUGGGCGGAAGCCUGAUGCAGCAACGCCGCGUGCGGGAUGACGGCCUUCGGGUUGUAAACCGCUUUCGCCUGUGACGAAGCGUGAGUGACGGUAAUGGGUAAAGAAGCACCGGCUAACUACGUG
This 468-nucleotide ribosomal RNA is filed under the name uncultured bacterium. RNAcentral describes it as "partial 16S ribosomal RNA". It matches the Rfam family "Bacterial small subunit ribosomal RNA", at positions 28 to 507 of the family's 1533-position model. The record is from RNAcentral.